RNAcentral lists this ribosomal RNA (183 nucleotides) under uncultured bacterium. Its description in RNAcentral is "partial 16S ribosomal RNA". It matches the Rfam family "Bacterial small subunit ribosomal RNA", at positions 1317 to 1500 of the family's 1533-position model. The record is from RNAcentral.
UUCAUGAAGCCGGAAUUGCUAGUAAUGGCAGGUCAGCAUACUGCCGUGAAUACGUUCCCGGGCCUUGUACACACCGCCCGUCACACCAUGAGAGUUGGGAAUACCCGAAGCCUGUGAGCUAACUUAUAGAGGCAGCAGUCGAAGGUAGAAUCAAUGAUUGGGGUGAAGUCGUAACAAGGUAGC